GGGGAAAAAUUAAUAAUUUAAUUAUAAUAAAAUAAUUUUUAAUAGAAUAUAUUUAAUGGGGGUUAAAGUAUAUUUUUGUGAAAAAAUUAAAAAUUUUAUAGUGUAAUAGUAUUGUAAAAGAAAUUUGAAAUAUUUGAAAAUAAAAUUAAUAAAAAGUAAAUUUUAUUUAUUGUAUCUUGUGUAUCAGAGUUUAUUAAAAAUUAUUUUUAAUAAAAAAUUUCUCGAAUUUAAAAGAGUUAAUUAUUUAUUAAAGUUAAUGUUGUAUAAUUAUUUUUAAUAAAUAAUUGGAAAUGAAAUGUUAAUCGUUUUUAAAUAUAUCUAGUUUUUUUAGAAAAAAAUUUAAUUUUAAAUGUAAAAUAAAAAAAAAUUAUUUGAAUAAUAUUUUUUUUUUACAUUAAAUAUUUUAGGGGAUAAGCUUUAAAAUAAAAUUUUAUAAUAAAAUUAAUUUAUUUAAAAUUUUUAAAAUUUAUAUUGUUUAUAAAUUAUAAUUUUUUAUAAAUAAUUUUAAUUAAAUAUAAAAUUUAAUUUUUAUUAUUUAAAUUUUUAUAAAAAAAAUAAUUUUUAAUUAAAUAAAAUUAAAUAUAAUGAUAAAAUUAGUAUAUAAUAAUAAUAAUAAUAAUAAAAUUAUAAGAAUUUAAUAAAAGGAAUUCGGCAAAUUUAUAUAUUCACUUGUUUAUCAAAAACAUGUCUUUUUGAGUUUAAUUUAAAGUCUAGUCUGCCCACUGAUUUAAAAUAAUUAAAGGGCUGCAGUAUUUUGACUGUACAAAGGUAGCAUAAUCAUUAGUCUCUUAAUUGGUGACUUGUAUGAAGGAUUUGAUGAAAUAUAAACUGUCUCUUAUUAAUUUAUAAAAUUUAAUUUUUUAGUAAAAAAGCUAAAAUAAUUUUAAAAGACGAGAAGACCCUAUAGAGUUUUAUAAUAAAUUUAAUUAUAUUUUUUAUAUAAAUAUUUUAUUUUUAAUAAAAUUUAUUAUUUUAUUGGGGUGAUAGAAAAAUUUAAUAAACUUUUUUUAAAAAUAAAACAUAAAUAAGUGAAUGUAUGAUCCGUUAUUAACGAUUAUAAGAAUAAAUUACCUUAGGGAUAACAGCGUAAUUUUUUUUUUUAGUUCAAAUAAAAAAAAAAGUUUGCGACCUCGAUGUUGGAUUAAGAUAAAAUUUAAAUGCAAAAGUUUAAAAUUUUGAUCUGUUCGAUCAUUAAAAUCUUACAUGAUCUGAGUUCAAACCGGUGUAAGCCAGGUUGGUUUCUAUCUUUAGAAAAUUAAAAUAUUUUAGUACGAAAGGAUCAAAUAUUUAAAAUAAUUUUAUUAAAAGAAUAAUAAUAAAUAGUUUAUAA
RNAcentral lists this ribosomal RNA (1330 nucleotides) under Graphium antiphates (fivebar swordtail). RNAcentral's name for it is "16S ribosomal RNA". The record is from RNAcentral. Lineage: Eukaryota; Metazoa; Arthropoda; Insecta; Lepidoptera; Papilionidae.